Molecule: long non-coding RNA, 1089 nt
Filed under: Homo sapiens (human)
Lineage: Eukaryota; Metazoa; Chordata; Mammalia; Primates; Hominidae
Description: HSALNT0218806
Source: RNAcentral
GGCAAUUUUAAUUCAGAAGAUGGAAACCAGCAUAAUAUAGAUCUGUCGUGGCUUCAGCAUCAGGAAACAACACACUGAUCAUGACAUCAAACUCCAGAGGAAGCCGGCUAAGGAUGUGCUUGUUUUGAUGUGACAUGUGCCUGCGAUGAUUAACUCUCAUGCUCCCACAAUCUCUCCAGGGCCCCAGACUUGGUCCUUCCUCGCCUGUAAACAGGAUCAGGAUGCAUCCUGGAGUUCAGCCAAGGGCAUCUGGCCUUGGGAUAAGAAAGUUCCUCUGAGAUUAAGACUGAGAAAGGUCUUAAAAGCCAAGACUCCAAAUGGCAUCAGGAAACCCAGGCUCUUCGAAAUAUGCAGUGAAAAAUGAAACCCUUGCAAGAUGAGACAUUUGAUAAAGAAGAAAACAUCAAAUUUUCUUGAAGCUUUCCUCUCACUGUAACUCUGCCUCCUUGGAUUGAAGCUACAGAGAAGAAUGCAGCCUGCGGGUGCUCAUGCCUGAGCAUCAUCUCCUCUUUUCCACCUGCUGAGCUAUGUCUAAAUAGACAUCCUCUACCUUUGGCCCAAAACUUUCUGUUCCUGAAUAGAAAGAACAUUCUUGUCAUAUCAAGAGUUCUGGGAUAUUCUGGGAGCAGUUUAGAGCUUUCAAUCAGUAUAAAGUUUCUUUUCUCAUGAAAAGAUCUUGCCACAGGGGAUGAGAAACAAGCUAUUGAGCAUCUAAUAUAUGUGUAUACCAUGCUAAUCAAUUGUACAUACUUCAGUCUAUUUAAUUAACAGAAACACCCUCCAAGGAAGUCUUAUCCCCCUCAAUUAAGUAGAUUAAAAAUAAACGUCUUGGAGAAGAUAAGGUGAUUGAGCUUGUAAGAGAGCCAUGCCUUUUGCACUAAACUACACAGACCUAAUCCCUGUACAUAUAUCUGCCUUCCAUUCCCAAGAUCUCUUGGUAGGGUCUUCCAGAGAUCUUCUAGGAAUGUACUUAAUAACUGGUUCUUCCAUUAUUUUUCUACCAUUGAACUUGAAGAAGAUGUGACUGGGGAAUAAAGGCAAAGCCAAGCAUGAGAAGACCCAAGGAGAACAGGACCAAAGCCCUGAGGA